AUAGGCGAAAGCUUGACAGGGUUACUCUGAGUGAUUUCCGCUAAGGAGAUCUUUUGGCACCUCUAAAAAUGGUGCAGAAUAAGGGGUGGGCAAGUCUGGUGUCAGCCGCCGCGGUAAUACCAGCACCCCGAGUGGUCGGGACGAUUAUUGGGCCUAAAGCAUCCGUAGCCGGCCCUGCAAGUCUUCCGUUAAAUCCAUCCGCUCAACGGAUGGGCCGCGGGAGAUACUACAGGGCUAGGAGGCGGGAGAGGCAAGCGGUACUCAGUGGGUAGGGGUAAAAUCCUCUGAUCCACUGAAGACCACCAGUGGCGAAGGCGGCUUGCCAGAACGCGCUCGACGGUGAGGGAUGAAAGCUGGGGGAGCAAACCGGAUUAGAUACCCCCGUAGUCC
RNAcentral lists this ribosomal RNA (390 nucleotides) under uncultured archaeon. RNAcentral's name for it is "bacterial SSU rRNA". It matches the Rfam family "Archaeal small subunit ribosomal RNA", at positions 355 to 747 of the family's 1478-position model. The record is from RNAcentral.